CCUACGGGUGGCUGCAGCAAGGAAUUUUCGGCAAUGGGCGCAAGCCUGACCGAGCAACGCCGCGUGCCGGAUGACGGCCUUCGGGUUGUAAACGGCUUCUCGGGGGGACGAUGAUGACGGUACCCCCGGAAUAAGCCCCGGCUAACUCUGUGCCAGCAGCCGCGGUAAGACAGAGGGGGCAAGCGUUGUCCGGACUUACUGGGCGUAAAGCGUCCGCAGGCGGCAGGGCAAGUGGCGGCUGAAAGCGCCCGGCUUAACCGGGCGAGGCGUCGCCA
Molecule: ribosomal RNA, 275 nt
Filed under: uncultured bacterium
Lineage: Bacteria
Description: partial 16S ribosomal RNA
Rfam family: Bacterial small subunit ribosomal RNA
Source: RNAcentral